CCUACGGGGUGCUGCAGUGAGGAAUAUUGGUCAAUGGGCGCGAGCCUGAACCAGCCAAGUAGCGUGAAGGAUGACUGCCCUACGGGUUGUAAACUUCUUUUAUAAAGGAAUAAAGUGAGGCACUUGUGCCUUUUUGUAUGUACUUUAUGAAUAAGGCACGGCUAACUACGUGCCAGCAGCCGCGGUAAUACGGAGGAUCCGAGCGUUAUCCGGAUUUAUUGGGUUUAAAGGGAGCGUAGAUGGGUUGUUAAGUCAGUUGUGAAAGUUUUCGGCUGAACCGUAAGAUUGCAAUUGAUACUGGCAGCCGUGAGUACAGGUGAGGUAGGCGGAAUUCGUGGUGUAGCGGUGAAAUGCUUAGAUAUCACGAAGAACUCCGAUUGCGAAGGCAGCCUACUGAACUGCCACUGACAUUGAUGCUCGAAAGUGUGGGUAUCAAACAGGAUUAGAUACCCGGGUAGUC
This 460-nucleotide ribosomal RNA is filed under the name uncultured bacterium. RNAcentral's name for it is "partial 16S ribosomal RNA". It matches the Rfam family "Bacterial small subunit ribosomal RNA", at positions 338 to 795 of the family's 1533-position model. The record is from RNAcentral.